UACGGAGGGUGCAAGCGUUAAUCGGAAUUACUGGGCGUAAAGCGCACGCAGGUGGCUGAGUCAGUCGAUUGUGAAAGCCCUGGGCUUAACCUGGGAAUUGCAGUCGAUACUACUCAGCUAGAGUAUGGGAGAGGGUAGUGGAAUUCCCGGUGUAGCGGUGAAAUGCGUAGAUAUCGGGAGGAACAUCAGUGGCGAAGGCGGCUACCUGGCCCAACACUGACACUCAGGUGCGACAGCGUGGGGAGCAAACAGG
This 253-nucleotide ribosomal RNA is filed under the name uncultured bacterium. Its description in RNAcentral is "partial 16S ribosomal RNA". It matches the Rfam family "Bacterial small subunit ribosomal RNA", at positions 524 to 776 of the family's 1533-position model. The record is from RNAcentral.